RNAcentral lists this ribosomal RNA (2891 nucleotides) under Pseudomonas aeruginosa. Its description in RNAcentral is "23S ribosomal RNA". It matches the Rfam family "Bacterial large subunit ribosomal RNA". Lineage: Bacteria; Pseudomonadati; Pseudomonadota; Gammaproteobacteria; Pseudomonadales; Pseudomonadaceae. The record is from RNAcentral.
GGUCAAGUGAAGAAGCGCAUACGGUGGAUGCCUUGGCAGUCAGAGGCGAUGAAAGACGUGGUAGCCUGCGAAAAGCUUCGGGGAGUCGGCAAACAGACUUUGAUCCGGAGAUCUCUGAAUGGGGGAACCCACCUAGGAUAACCUAGGUAUCUUGUACUGAAUCCAUAGGUGCAAGAGGCGAACCAGGGGAACUGAAACAUCUAAGUACCCUGAGGAAAAGAAAUCAACCGAGAUUCCCUUAGUAGUGGCGAGCGAACGGGGAUUAGCCCUUAAGCUUCAUUGAUUUUAGCGGAACGCUCUGGAAAGUGCGGCCAUAGUGGGUGAUAGCCCCGUACGCGAAAGGAUCUUUGAAGUGAAAUCGAGUAGGACGGAGCACGAGAAACUUUGUCUGAACAUGGGGGGACCAUCCUCCAAGGCUAAAUACUACUGACUGACCGAUAGUGAACCAGUACCGUGAGGGAAAGGCGAAAAGAACCCCGGAGAGGGGAGUGAAAUAGAACCUGAAACCGUAUGCGUACAAGCAGUGGGAGCCUACUUGUUAGGUGACUGCGUACCUUUUGUAUAAUGGGUCAGCGACUUAUAUUCAGUGGCAAGCUUAACCGUAUAGGGUAGGCGUAGCGAAAGCGAGUCUUAAUAGGGCGUUUAGUCGCUGGGUAUAGACCCGAAACCGGGCGAUCUAUCCAUGAGCAGGUUGAAGGUUAGGUAACACUGACUGGAGGACCGAACCCACUCCCGUUGAAAAGGUAGGGGAUGACUUGUGGAUCGGAGUGAAAGGCUAAUCAAGCUCGGAGAUAGCUGGUUCUCCUCGAAAGCUAUUUAGGUAGCGCCUCAUGUAUCACUCUGGGGGGUAGAGCACUGUUUCGGCUAGGGGGUCAUCCCGACUUACCAAACCGAUGCAAACUCCGAAUACCCAGAAGUGCCGAGCAUGGGAGACACACGGCGGGUGCUAACGUCCGUCGUGAAAAGGGAAACAACCCAGACCGCCAGCUAAGGUCCCAAAGUUGUGGUUAAGUGGUAAACGAUGUGGGAAGGCUUAGACAGCUAGGAGGUUGGCUUAGAAGCAGCCAUCCUUUAAAGAAAGCGUAAUAGCUCACUAGUCGAGUCGGCCUGCGCGGAAGAUGUAACGGGGCUCAAACCACACACCGAAGCUGCGGGUGUCACGUAAGUGACGCGGUAGAGGAGCGUUCUGUAAGCCUGUGAAGGUGAGUUGAGAAGCUUGCUGGAGGUAUCAGAAGUGCGAAUGCUGACAUGAGUAACGACAAUGGGUGUGAAAAACACCCACGCCGAAAGACCAAGGGUUCCUGCGCAACGUUAAUCGACGCAGGGUUAGUCGGUUCCUAAGGCGAGGCUGAAAAGCGUAGUCGAUGGGAAACAGGUUAAUAUUCCUGUACUUCUGGUUACUGCGAUGGAGGGACGGAGAAGGCUAGGCCAGCUUGGCGUUGGUUGUCCAAGUUUAAGGUGGUAGGCUGAAAUCUUAGGUAAAUCCGGGGUUUCAAGGCCGAGAGCUGAUGACGAGUCGUCUUUUAGAUGACGAAGUGGUUGAUGCCAUGCUUCCAAGAAAAGCUUCUAAGCUUCAGGUAACCAGGAACCGUACCCCAAACCGACACAGGUGGUCGGGUAGAGAAUACCAAGGCGCUUGAGAGAACUCGGGUGAAGGAACUAGGCAAAAUGGCACCGUAACUUCGGGAGAAGGUGCGCCGGCUAGGGUGAAGGAUUUACUCCGUAAGCUCUGGCUGGUCGAAGAUACCAGGCCGCUGCGACUGUUUAUUAAAAACACAGCACUCUGCAAACACGAAAGUGGACGUAUAGGGUGUGACGCCUGCCCGGUGCCGGAAGGUUAAUUGAUGGGGUUAGCGCAAGCGAAGCUCUUGAUCGAAGCCCCGGUAAACGGCGGCCGUAACUAUAACGGUCCUAAGGUAGCGAAAUUCCUUGUCGGGUAAGUUCCGACCUGCACGAAUGGCGUAACGAUGGCGGCGCUGUCUCCACCCGAGACUCAGUGAAAUUGAAAUCGCUGUGAAGAUGCAGUGUAUCCGCGGCUAGACGGAAAGACCCCGUGAACCUUUACUGUAGCUUUGCACUGGACUUUGAGCCUGCUUGUGUAGGAUAGGUGGGAGGCUUUGAAGCGUGGACGCCAGUUCGCGUGGAGCCAUCCUUGAAAUACCACCCUGGCAUGCUUGAGGUUCUAACUCUGGUCCGUGAUCCGGAUCGAGGACAGUGUAUGGUGGGCAGUUUGACUGGGGCGGUCUCCUCCUAAAGAGUAACGGAGGAGUACGAAGGUGCGUUCAGACCGGUCGGAAAUCGGUCGCAGAGUAUAAAGGCAAAAGCGCGCUUGACUGCGAGACAGACACGUCGAGCAGGUACGAAAGUAGGUCUUAGUGAUCCGGUGGUUCUGUAUGGAAGGGCCAUCGCUCAACGGAUAAAAGGUACUCCGGGGAUAACAGGCUGAUACCGCCCAAGAGUUCAUAUCGACGGCGGUGUUUGGCACCUCGAUGUCGGCUCAUCACAUCCUGGGGCUGAAGCCGGUCCCAAGGGUAUGGCUGUUCGCCAUUUAAAGUGGUACGCGAGCUGGGUUUAGAACGUCGUGAGACAGUUCGGUCCCUAUCUGCCGUGGACGUUUGAGAUUUGAGAGGGGCUGCUCCUAGUACGAGAGGACCGGAGUGGACGAACCUCUGGUGUUCCGGUUGUCACGCCAGUGGCAUUGCCGGGUAGCUAUGUUCGGAAAAGAUAACCGCUGAAAGCAUCUAAGCGGGAAACUUGCCUCAAGAUGAGAUCUCACUGGGAACUUGAUUCCCCUGAAGGGCCGUCGAAGACUACGACGUUGAUAGGCUGGGUGUGUAAGCGUUGUGAGGCGUUGAGCUAACCAGUACUAAUUGCCCGUGAGGCUUGACCAU